GACGAACGCUGGCGGCGUGCCUAAUACAUGCAAGUCGAACGAGAGCAACCGGUGCUUGCACUGGUCAAUCUAGUGGCGAACGGGUGAGUAACACGUGGGUAACCUGCCCAUCAGAGGGGGAUAACAUCCGGAAACGGAUGCUAAAACCGCAUAGGUCUUCGAACCGCAUGGUUUGAAGAGGAAAAGAGGCGCAAGCUUCUGCUGAUGGAUGGACCCGCGGUGCAUUAGCUAGUUGGUGAGGUAACGGCUCACCAAGGCCGUGAUGCAUAGCCGACCUGAGAGGGUGAUCGGCCACAUUGGGACUGAGACACGGCCCAAACUCCUACGGGAGGCAGCAGUAGGGAAUCUUCCGCAAUGGACGCAAGUCUGACGGAGCAACGCCGCGUGAGUGAAGAAGGUUUUCGGAUCGUAAAACUCUGCUGUUAGAGAAGAACAAGUGCUAGAGUAACUGUUAGCGCCUUGACGGUAUCUAACCAGAAAGCCACGGCUAACUACGUG
This 498-nucleotide ribosomal RNA is filed under the name uncultured bacterium. RNAcentral describes it as "partial 16S ribosomal RNA". It matches the Rfam family "Bacterial small subunit ribosomal RNA", at positions 28 to 507 of the family's 1533-position model. The record is from RNAcentral.